AAUGAACGCUGGCGGCGUGCCUAACACAUGCAAGUCGAACGCGAAAGCCCGCAAGGGCAAGUAGAGUGGCGCACGGGUGAGUAAUGCACAAGAAUCUGCCCUUCUGUGAAGAAUACCUCUGAGAAAUCAGGGUUAAUACUGCAUAAGCCCGGAAACGGGGAAAGGUGGCCUCUUGCUACCGCAGAAUGGAUGAGCUUGUGUCCUAUCAGCUAGUUGGUGAGGUAAAGGCUCACCAAGGCAAAGACGGGUAGUCGGCCUGAGAGGGUGUACGACCACAAUGGGACUGAGACACGGCCCAUACUCCUACGGGAGGCAGCAGUAGGGAAUAUUGGACAAUGGGCGCAAGCCUGAUCCAGCCAUGCCGCGUGAGUGAAGAAGGCCCUCGGGUUGUAAAGCUCUUUUGUUGGGGAAGAAAAGCAGUUGGUUAAUACCCGAUUGUUCUGACGGUACCCAAAGAAUAAGCACCGGCUAACUUCGUGCCAGCAGCCGCGGUAAG
RNAcentral lists this ribosomal RNA (496 nucleotides) under uncultured bacterium. RNAcentral describes it as "bacterial SSU rRNA". It matches the Rfam family "Bacterial small subunit ribosomal RNA", at positions 29 to 524 of the family's 1533-position model. The record is from RNAcentral.